This is a long non-coding RNA of Anguilla rostrata (American eel), 1632 nucleotides long. RefSeq lists it as uncharacterized. Lineage: Eukaryota; Metazoa; Chordata; Actinopteri; Anguilliformes; Anguillidae. The transcript has 4 exons. The record is from RefSeq and is a predicted model, not a curated record.
AAGCUUCAGCGAGUUGGUCGAGUGUUUUUUGCUGAAACAAAUCUCUCUAGCUCUUGUGUUUGCUUGAAUUUUUGUUUAGGUCGCCUUGGCUGUACAUUUGCAUCAUUUAGCGGACAACCAGAAGCAGAAAACGAUGAAGUCACCUGAAGAUCAACGACUGCCUGGAAGUGACUCUUAACUUCUGGCUGGCCAUUCUGAAUAGCUGCUGGACGGACGUUUGAUCUGACCAAUGAGCGCCUAGAGGCGGAGCCUGAGGCUACUGGCCCCGCCUACCGCCAGCGCUCACUCGGUUACACAGAGUUUCCUGGGUCGAGCUGCACAACCUGGAGAUGGCUGAGGGGCACUUCAUGCACCGAUGUAUUACCGCUCUGCUGGACAGCCAGUGGGAGGAGGCACUCGAGUGUCUGUGCUGCCUGCUGACCACCAUUGGCAGUUAGCUGGACUGCGUUAAAGCCAAGUGCCAUAUGGACAGGCACUCACAUCAAACGGAGCAGAUCCUGAAGGAGCGGAAGACCUCAUCCAGGAUCCAUUUUAUGCUAGAAGUUGUAAUAGACCUAAGAGAGGUGCCGACACCCCCCUGAUUGAGCUCCACCCAUCGUCUGUUGAGAACCACACCUCUGCAUUUGGCUACUUGCCUCUUUCCGCAUUCAUCGAGGCAACGCUGAAUGGAUCGACCUGUGGAACAUUAAAUAUGUCUCUCAUCUGCUCUUCCCCCUCCCAGAAUAACUGGGCCCCCAGGAGCAGUGACCAGGGGCCCAGAACCAUCAGCCAGGUCCACAAAGAUGGCGAGCUGGAGACCCAGCAGGAGAGGUCCAAGGAGAAGCAGCAGUUCCUAGCCAAGAAGAACAACCGGGACCACCAUGGUGUAAGAUUCUGGCUCUAGAGUGACAUCACUGAGGCAAUGAGACUAUAUAGCUCCAGUGCAGGGCUGCCCAACCCUGUUCCUGGAGAUCUACCGUCUUGUAGGUUUUCAAUCUGACCCUAACAAAGCAACACCUCACUCAACAGCAAGAGAUCUACUGUCCUGUAGGUUUUUAUUCCAACCCUGAUGAAGCACACCUCAUUCAACAGCUAGAGAUCUACCAUCCUGUAGGUUUUCAAUCCAACCCUAACAAAGCACUCCUCAGUCAACAGCUAAAGAUCUCUCACUAGAGCUGCUAAUUAGUGGAAUCAGGUGUGUAAAUUCGGGUUGAAAUGAAAACCUGGGCAGCCCUGGUCUGGAGUGAGAUCACUGAGGCAGGUUGGUGAGCCUACUCCUUUCUCCCCAGCAGGACCAGUUUGAAUAGGGACCAUUCACAACAGAGAGGUUGCUGCUGCUGUUGUUGCCGCCGCCCACACACACACACACAAACGUUUCUCUCUGCGACUCUUCAGCGUAUGUCUACAAAUCAAAUAAACAACGGAAAUUAACCCGAAGAGCCGGUUAAGAGUGCUGCCAAGCAGGGACGUUGCUUGACUUCGAAGCUCUGCUGAAACACAGGUCCCAUGGUCCAGUGCUCUCAUCCCCGAAAGUCACGUUGCCGCACCCGUAAAACGGCCUUGCAUUCCUUCACAGCCUCGCACUCACAAGCGCCCGUGGUUGACAGCUGACGCUUAGUUAUCUAACUGCUUGCUUGACAGGGACAGCGGUCG